This 502-nucleotide ribosomal RNA is filed under the name uncultured bacterium. RNAcentral's name for it is "bacterial SSU rRNA". It matches the Rfam family "Bacterial small subunit ribosomal RNA", at positions 791 to 1316 of the family's 1533-position model. The record is from RNAcentral.
UAGUCCACGCCGUAAACGAUGAGAACUAGAUGUCGGGAGGAUUUACCUCUCGGUGUCGCAGCUAACGCGUUAAGUUCUCCGCCUGGGGAGUACGCCGGCAGCGGUAAAACUCAAAGGAAUUGACGGGGACCCGCACAAGCGGUGGAGCAUGUGGUUUAAUUCGAUGCAACGCGAAGAACCUUACCUGCCCUUGACAUCCUCAGAACUUGUUAGAGAUAACUCGGUGCCUUCGGGAAUUGAGUGACAGGUGCUGCAUGGCUGUCGUCAGCUCGUGUCGUGAGAUGUUGGGUUAAGUCCCGCAACGAGCGCAACCCUCGCUGUUAGUUGCCAGCAUUUAGUUGGGCACUCUAGCAGGACCGCCGGUGAUAAGCCGGAGGAAGGUGAGGAUGACGUCAAAUCAUCAUGGCCCUUACGGGCUGGGCUACACACGUGCUACAAUGGCGCCUAUAGUGGGUUAAUCCCUAAAAGGCGUCUCAGUUCGGAUUGUCGUCUGCAACUCGAC